This 113-nucleotide non-coding RNA is filed under the name Cervus elaphus hippelaphus. RNAcentral also lists the same sequence under 1 other name. The record is from RNAcentral. Lineage: Eukaryota; Metazoa; Chordata; Mammalia; Artiodactyla; Cervidae.
GUCUUGUAUGAAGAGAGAUUAGCAUUCUUUUUGUCAAGAGUUCGGAGGCCUGGACAACACACAUAUAGUUAAGGCGUUGCUACCUAUUUGGUAACAUCUGAACAUGGUUUUGA